GAUGAACGCUGGCGGCGUGCCUAAUACAUGCAAGUCGAGCGAACAGACGAGGAGCUUGCUCCUCUGACGUUAGCGGCGGACGGGUGAGUAACACGUGGAUAACCUACCUAUAAGACUGGGAUAACUUCGGGAAACCGGAGCUAAUACCGGAUAAUAUAUUGAACCGCAUGGUUCAAUAGUGAAAGACGGUUUUGCUGUCACUAAUAGAUGGAUCCGCGCCGCAUUAGCUAGUUGGUAAGGUAAAGGCUUACCAAGGCAACGAUGCGUAGCCGACCUGAGAGGGUGAUCGGCCACACUGGAACUGAGACACGGUCCAGACUCCUACGGGAGGCAGCAGUAGGGAAUCUUCCGCAAUGGGCGAAAGCCUGACGUAGCAACGCCGCGUGAGUGAUGAAGGUCUUCGGAUCGUAAAACUCUGUUAUUAGGGAAGAACAAAUGUGUAAGUAACUAUGCACGUCUUGACGGUACCUAAUCAGAAAGCCACGGCUAACUACGUG
Molecule: ribosomal RNA, 497 nt
Filed under: uncultured bacterium
Lineage: Bacteria
Description: partial 16S ribosomal RNA
Rfam family: Bacterial small subunit ribosomal RNA
Source: RNAcentral